Molecule: ribosomal RNA, 526 nt
Filed under: uncultured bacterium
Lineage: Bacteria
Description: bacterial SSU rRNA
Rfam family: Bacterial small subunit ribosomal RNA
Source: RNAcentral
ACAUCCAGCGAACUUGGCAGAGAUGCCUUGGUGCCUUCGGGAACGCUGAGACAGGUGCUGCAUGGCUGUCGUCAGCUCGUGUUGUGAAAUGUUGGGUUAAGUCCCGCAACGAGCGCAACCCUUUAUCCUUUGUUGCCAGCGAUUCGGUCGGGAACUCAAAGGAGACUGCCGGUGAUAAACCGGAGGAAGGUGGGGAUGACGUCAAGUCAUCAUGGCCCUUACGAGUAGGGCUACACACGUGCUACAAUGGCGCAUACAAAGAGAAGCGACCUCGCGAGAGCAAGCGGACCUCAUAAAGUGCGUCGUAGUCCGGAUCGGAGUCUGCAACUCGACUCCGUGAAGUCGGAAUCGCUAGUAAUCGUGGAUCAGAAUGCCACGGCGAAUACGUUCCCGGGCCUUGUACACACCGCCCGUCACACCAUGGGAGUGGGUUGCAAAAGAAGUAGGUAGCUUAACCUUCGGGAGGGCGCUUACCACUUUGUGAUUCAUGACUGGGGUGAAGUCGUAACAAGGUAAGCGUAGCGAG